Molecule: long non-coding RNA, 204 nt
Filed under: Elaeis guineensis (African oil palm)
Lineage: Eukaryota; Viridiplantae; Streptophyta; Magnoliopsida; Arecales; Arecaceae
Description: long non-coding RNA (EGUI_LNC017535)
Source: RNAcentral
UCUCCUAUAGUGAGGUUUUGACUAGAUUAUAGCCAAUCGGAUGCCUACAAAAGGAAGAAAAGGUUGGCUAUGUGGAACUGAAAGUGAGGAACAAAAAAAAUUGAAGAAAAAAUAUUUCAACCAGAACUAGAGGAAUCGGUGACCACCUUAGCACGAGGAUUGGAUGAGGGUUUUACGAUUUUGUUGGCAGCAAGCUCGAUGGUG